GUGUGAGGUUUUCGGCGAAAACCAGCGUUUAAAACUUUGGAUAUAUUUGUAAACGUGCAUAUAAAAUAUGAAAAUAGUGAAAAUACUUGAGUAAAGCAAGUAAAAUAUCAGAUAUAUAUAUCUAGAAUUAACCUGCAACAUAUAGUUGCAGCAAAUAAUUGCCGCUUGCCACGCAAUUGUGCUUUGCAAUUGUAAUUGCAUUGGUAUUGGUGAGCUGUGUGAGGCCGCCGUGUACGUGCGGCACUUCGGCAGUUGUAAAAUAUUUCAUUUUAUGUAAACCGGACAUAAGUUUUUGGCAAAUCGUCUGAAAAAUAUAAGUUUUAACAAUUAUAUAAUGAGUGCAACGCCACCAGAACUGCUGCAACUGCAGCAGCCCAUCGGAGGGGGUAAGGAAAAAGAAGCCAACGGUGGUAAUGACAAUGACUACCGAAGUCGCGAUAAGGAACGUUCGCGUUCCAGAGAUCGUGGCAGGGAUAAGGAAAAGGAUAGAGAGCGCGAGAAAAAACGAAGAGAUCGAGAACGUGGCAGCAAGGAUCGCGAUAGCCGUCGACGUGAGAGCCGUGAACGGGACAGGGACCGUGAACGUGGUCGUGAUCGUGAUUCCCAAUCGCACCGCAGCCGCUCGAACAACCAUGAUGACUACGACAGACGUAAGAAACGCUCGCGGAGCAAGGAUCGCGAUCGCAGACGCGAACGGGAUCGCGAAUCACGCUCAAGACGCAGCGGGUCACGUGGUGGAGGAAACCGCGAUGAUUACGAUCGCAAUCGCAGACGACGCUCCAAUAGUCGCAGCUAUGACCGGCGUCGUAAUGAGCGGAGCAAUGAAUCGCAACGUAAUAGCCGAGAGCGGAGCAGUCGGGAGCGCAGCAGUCGUGAGCGCACAUAUGUGAAUCCAUUUGACACUUCGAACAGUCGCAACUUAUUGCAUGACCAGGAGUCUCGAAUACCGUCUCUGUUCGAGCGCCACCACCAACAGCCGCAGCUGGAGUCUAUUAGAGAGGAACCCAGUUCGCGCUUCGAUCUUUCACAGACUAUUCAGGAUCUUAUGAGCAAUGUGGGUAACAACAAAAGCUUUGCAUCACUAUUUAGCAACCAGAAUAGCAAUGAUUCCAUGAGCAAUGGAAUCUCGGAGAACUCAAUGGACAGUGCAGCGGAACGCAAGCGCAAGCGAAAGUCUCGAUGGGGCGGAACUGAAAAGGACAAGACAUUUAUACCGGGCAUGCCCACAAUUUUGCCCUCAACGUUGGAUCCGGCACAGCAAGAAGCCUACUUAGGUCGCCUUCCCCGGAGCCCAUUUACAGUUCUGAUGGCAAGCGUUUGAACACGCGCGAGUUUCGCUAUCGCAAGCGUUUAGAAGAGCAGCGCCAUCAGCUUAUAGUCAAGAUGCAGGCUGUUAAUCCAGAGUUUAAGCCGCCAGCUGAUUACAAGCCACCUGUUACACGUGUCAGCGACAAGGUUCUAAUUCCGCAAGAGCAGCAUCCGGACAUAAACUUUGUGGGCCUGCUGAUUGGACCUCGCGGCAACACACUAAAAGCCAUGGAAAAGGACACCGGCGCUAAGAUCAUUAUACGCGGUAAAGGCUCUGUCAAAGAGGGCAAAGUGGGUCGCAAGGAUGGCCAACCUUUGCCGGGCGAAGAUGAACCGCUGCAUGCGUUUAUUACAGCGCCCAAUCCGGAGGCUGUACGCAAGGCCGUUGACAAGAUUAAGGACGUUAUACGGCAAGGCAUCGAGGUGCCCGAGGGCCACAAUGAUCUGCGCCGCAUGCAGCUGCGAGAACUAGCCCAGCUGAACGGCACGUUGCGAGAGAACGAUAUACAGCGCUGCACUUGUGGCUCUACAGAUCACAAGUCUUGGCAGUGCCCCGACAAGCCGAUCAUAACCAACACCAUUGUCUGCACAUCAUGCGGCGGCACUGGUCACUUGACUAAAGAUUGUCGUAAUAAGCGUCCAGGCUCCGGUGCGCCGGGCAUGGCCUGUGAGGAUACCCAGGCCAAGAUCGAUGAGGAGUACAUGAGCCUAAUGGCGGA
Molecule: unclassified non-coding RNA, 2027 nt
Filed under: Drosophila virilis
Lineage: Eukaryota; Metazoa; Arthropoda; Insecta; Diptera; Drosophilidae
Description: GJ27151
Source: RNAcentral